Molecule: long non-coding RNA, 212 nt
Filed under: Elaeis guineensis (African oil palm)
Lineage: Eukaryota; Viridiplantae; Streptophyta; Magnoliopsida; Arecales; Arecaceae
Description: long non-coding RNA (EGUI_LNC067088)
Source: RNAcentral
CGGGUACCAUUGCUAGAUGGUCACUUCGAUUAGUACAAAAAUUGGUUCCUGUGCUACCGGCUUAGGUUCGAACCUAUGGGGUCACACACAUUAGAGGUUCCUAUCUGAUCUGAUGGCUGAUGAAGAGUCCUAAUGCACGUGGACUAUGAGUCCUACAUGUCUGAGACUCUGUGAUCGAGAAUCAAGAUUCUCUGAUCAUGAGUCCCACACAU